UGGGGAAUUUUGGACAAUGGGGGAAACCCUGAUCCAGCCAUCCCGCGUGUGCGAUGAAGGCCUUCGGGUUGUAAAGCACUUUUGGCAGGAAAGAAACGUCAUGGGUUAAUACCCCGUGAAACUGACGGUACCUGCAGAAUAAGCACCGGCUAACUACGUGCCAGCAGCCGCGGUAAUACGUAGGGUGCAAGCGUUAAUCGGAAUUACUGGGCGUAAAGCGUGCGCAGGCGGUUCGGAAAGAAAGAUGUGAAAUCCCAGAGCUCAACUUUGGAACUGCAUUUUUAACUACCGGGCUUGAGUGUGUCAGAGGGAGGUAGAAUUCCGCGUGUAGCAGUGAAAUGCGUAGAUAUGCGGAGGAACACCGAUGGCGAAGGCAGCCUCCUGGAAUAACACUGACGCUCAUGCACGAAAGCGUGGGGAGCAAACAGG
RNAcentral lists this ribosomal RNA (429 nucleotides) under Acidobacteriota bacterium. Its description in RNAcentral is "Acidobacteria bacterium partial 16S ribosomal RNA". It matches the Rfam family "Bacterial small subunit ribosomal RNA", at positions 355 to 776 of the family's 1533-position model. The record is from RNAcentral. Lineage: Bacteria; Pseudomonadati; Acidobacteriota.